CCCCGGUAAACGGCGGCCGUAACUAUAACGGUCCUAAGGUAGCGAAAUUCCUUGUCGGGUAAGUUCCGACCUGCACGAAUGGCGUAAUGAUGGCCAGGCUGUCUCCACCCGAGACUCAGUGAAAUUGAACUCGCUGUGAAGAUGCAGUGUACCCGCGGCAAGACGGAAAGACCCCGUGAACCUUUACUAUAGCUUGACACUGAACAUUGAGCCUUGAUGUGUAGGAUAGGUGGGAGGCUUUGAAGUGUGGACGCCAGUCUGCAUGGAGCCGACCUUGAAAUACCACCCUUUAAUGUUU
Molecule: ribosomal RNA, 298 nt
Filed under: Escherichia coli
Lineage: Bacteria; Pseudomonadati; Pseudomonadota; Gammaproteobacteria; Enterobacterales; Enterobacteriaceae
Also listed under: 15 other names
Description: partial 23S ribosomal RNA
Rfam family: Bacterial large subunit ribosomal RNA
Source: RNAcentral